Molecule: ribosomal RNA, 500 nt
Filed under: uncultured bacterium
Lineage: Bacteria
Description: partial 16S ribosomal RNA
Rfam family: Bacterial small subunit ribosomal RNA
Source: RNAcentral
AUUGAACGCUGGCGGCAUGCCUUGAACAUGCAAGUCGAACGGCAGCACGGGAGCAAUCCUGGUGGCGAGUGGCGAACGGGUGAGUAAAGUAUCGGAACGUGCCCAGUCGUGGGGGAUAACGUAGCGAAAGUUACGCUAAUACCGCAUACGAUCUACGGAUGAAAGCGGGGGAUCGCAAGACCUCGCGCGAUUGGAGCGGCUGAUAUCAGAUUAGGUAGUUGGUGGGGUAAAGGCUCACCAAGCCGACGAUCUGUAGCUGGUCUGAGAGGACGACCAGCCACACUGGGACUGAGACACGGCCCAGACUCCUACGGGAGGCAGCAGUGGGGAAUUUUGGACAAUGGGCGCAAGCCUGAUCCAGCCAUGCCGCGUGCAGGAUGAAGGCCUUCGGGUUGUAAACUGCUUUUGUACGGAACGAAAAGGUUUGGCCUAAUAAGCUGGACCCAUGACGGUACCGUAAGAAUAAGCACCGGCUAACUACGUGCCAGCCGCCGCGGUAA